Non-coding RNA from Rattus rattus (black rat), 417 nucleotides. The record is from the annotation of a RefSeq genome assembly. Lineage: Eukaryota; Metazoa; Chordata; Mammalia; Rodentia; Muridae.
AUUUACAAGGUCCUCAUCAUGAAAUGCAGCUGGAUCAACCUCAUCUUGAUGGCAUUAGCUUCAGGGGUCUACUCAGAAGUACAGCUGCAGCAGUCUGGGCCCGAGCUUCGGAGACCUGGGUCCUCAGUCAAGUUGUCUUGUAAGGCUUCUGGUUACACCUUUACAGAUUACCUUAUGCACUGGGUAAAGCAUAGGCCAGAACACGGCCUGGAAUGGAUAGGAUGGAUUGAUCCUGAGGAUGGUGAAACAAAAUAUGCUCAGAAGUUCCAAAGCAAGGCCACACUGACUGCAGAUACAUCCUCCAACACAGCCUACAUGCAACUCAGCAGCCGGACGUCUGAGGACACAGCAACCUAUUUUUGUGCUAGACACAAUGUUACUUUUUACUAUGUUUAUUUAUGGGACUUGAAUUACUGA